GAAGACAAGAAGAGCGUUGUGGGGUUUAAGAACUGAGGCGCUAAGGCUUUGAUAACUUCUAAGUUCUCAUUUCCAUUUCCUUUCAAAUCUGUACUCUUCGAAGCCAUUCAUUCGCCAUGUGGUCUCUUCGUCGAGCUUCCAAUUCUCUCAAGUUCCGGGGAUUGAGUGUAGUAACUUCUCGAGUUAGUUGUGCUAAAUCAGAAAUAUUUUCUAAUAAUGUUGAAGGCUAUUCUACAAUUUGCGAGUAUCCUCAAGCGCUAUCCAGCAACAGAUGCCUAUUUUACCACAAUGAAGCUAUUUGUUCAAAGUUCUAUAUGGUGAGCCAAAGUAUGUCUUCACAAGCUGGUGCAGAAAGCAGUGAAUCAGAAGAUGACUUAGAGGAUGGGUUUUCUGAACUCGAAACACCAGUUAGUGAUAACGCAAUUGAAGAAGGGAAUGCAGUAGGUGGGAAUGAAGAUGAGUUAGUUUCUGAACCUGAGCUUUCUGAUGAUAAUGAUGAUGUUGGAGAACACUCUCAAAAUGCAAUGGAAUUAUUAGAUACUGAAGCAGAUUCAGAUGUGAAAGCAUCAAUGAAGAAAAAAGUUGCCUCAGAACUGUUUCGAGCCAUCAUUUCUGCUCCAGGUUUGUCUAUCAAUGGCGUUCUUGAUAAGUGGGUGGAAGAAGGAAAGGAUUUGGAUCGGGCAGAGAUCUUACUGGUCAUGCUUGAUCUUCGUAAACGUCGAAUGUAUGGGAGGGCCCUGCAGGUGAUUUCUCUAGAUUCUCUUUUUCUUUCUGAUACAUGUGUUAUAUAGGUGAUAUUAUCAGUUUUUUGAGGGUUUCAGGGCAGCCAAAUAUCCGUUUAACUUAAUUAUUGGUUAGCUAUUCAUAUGACUGUAUUUGUGCCAACAGACAUGCAAAUUGUGAUUUGAAAGUACUAUUAAUUAUUUUAACUGUUCCAGUGCAAUAAUUUGAUGAAAGAUUCAAAAUUGGAUGUUAAAUUGUUUUGUCUCCACUUUCUCCUCCCUCCCUGGGCAUUUGUGCCUGAUACAUUAGAUCAAAACUGAUUUUCCUAUAUUCCCUGCAAUGAUUUUCUCUUGUUUCUUGAUUGGGUCUCAAAUGAAGAGGAAAUAAUUGCAGUGGAAAUUUAUUUAUUUUUCCUAAUGAGUUUUAUGGAACAGAGAUCAAAUCUGAGUUUGUAGAACAUAACAAAUUGGAGGGCGAUGACAUAUUUUGUGUCUGAAAUCUGCAAUUUUUUGUAGGAUUUAAGGCCUGUUUGUUCUGAAAUCUGUGAUUGUUUGCAGGAUUGUUUAGAAAGCUUUACACUAAGAAUUCCUUACACAUCAAAACCCAGGGUUCCAUAGACAUCUAACCUAGGAUAAAAUUGCAUUGUAAAAUUUGAUGUAGGAAAUCCUAAAGUUUGUAGAGAGUAUUUAUAGAAUCAAAUAAUUCUAAACUUUUACUUUUGUAGACUAUAUACUGGACAAAAAUGCUUUACAAUCAUGAGUAUUUAUGGACAAAUAAUUCUAAACUUUUACGUUGCCUGUUACUUGUUCACUUAUAUUUGUCUGUUGUUUCGCCAUAGUUUCUGAAUAUUCUUUUUUUGCUUUUGUUUGUUGGUCCAAUUCUUACUUCAUUUAGCAACCUUUGAAUAGCACCCUUAAGAGCACAUGUCCUUUUUGUCUUAAUUUGUUUUUAGAUAUCACUAGUUUUUUCUGAACUUGUUCUACAGUUCCUAGAUGCAUUAUGCAAGGACUUCCUGAUUUUCUUUUACAAAAAGAGCUUCUGUAAACCAAACAUCUUUCUCUUUUAGGUAGGAUUGUAAAAGUAUGAACUUGGUAUUACUUCUAUACUUUCAAACAUUUAUUCUGGCAUUAGAUGCAAGACUUACUAUUAUGCUAGUAAUAGCAUGAGUAUGACAGUUACGGCUUGGCCUUUUCUGGUCAUUGCAAGUGUUAUGGAGUGCCUCUGCACCUUUUUGCAUUUUUAUUUUUAUCUUCUUUUGUUUCUGUAGCUAUCAGAGUGGUUGGAGGCCAAUAACCGACUGGACUUUAUUGAGAGAGAUUAUGCUUCUCGGGUUGAUUUGAUUGCAAAAGUGCGUGGUCUCCACAAGGCUGAGAACUAUAUUGAGAAAAUCCCAAAAUCAUUCAGAGGGGAAGUAAUCUACCGAACUUUGUUGGCCAAUUGUGUUGCUACUAACAAUGUGAAGAAAGCAGAGGAAGUAUUCAACAAAAUAAAGGACCUUCAAUUUCCAGUCACAACAUUUGCAUGUAACCAGCUGCUUCUCCUCUACAAAAGGGUUGACAAGAAGAAGAUAGCUGAUGUUUUGUUAUUGAUGGAGAAAGAAAAUGUCAAGCCUUCACUUUUCACUUACAAAAUCUUAAUAGAUAUCAAAGGCCAAUCUAAUGACUUAACAGGGAUGGAUCAAAUUGUAGAGACCAUGAAGGCUGAAGGCAUUGAACCUGAUAUCAACACCCAAGCAAUUAUUGCCAAGCACUAUUCUUCUGGUGGCCUCAAAGAAAAAGCUGAGGCUACUUUGAAAGAGAUGGAAGGAGGAAACUUAAAAGAGCAUCGUUGGGCCUGUAGGGCUUUGCUACCCCUAUAUGCUUCACUUGGAAAAGCUGAUGAAGUGGGGAGAGUUUGGAAGGUCUGUGAGUCGAAUCCCCGGCUAGAUGAGUGCAUGGCUGCCAUUGAAGCUUGGGGAAGGCUAAAGAAAAUUGAUGAAGCUGAGGCAGUUUUUAAUAGGAUGCAUACGACUUGGAAGAAGCUCUCUUCAAGACACUAUGCUGCACUUUUGAAGGUUUAUGCAAACCAUAAGAUGCUAGCCAAAGGAAAAGAUCUGGUCAAGCGAAUGGCAGAUAGUGGGUGUCGCAUUGGUCCAUUGACUUGGGAUGCUCUUAUUAAGCUUUAUGUUGAAGCAGGGGAAGUGGAAAAGGCCGACUCUGUACUGCAAAAGGCUGCUCAGCAGAGCCAGCUGAAGCCAAUGUUUAGUUCUUACUUAGCUAUUAUGGAUCAGUAUGCAAAACGGGGUGAUAUACAUAAUGCAGAAAAAAUUUUUCACAGGAUGAGACAAGCGGGAUAUGUGGCUCGACUUAGGCAAUUCCAGACUCUAAUCCAGACUUACAUAAAUGCCAAGGCCCCAGCUUAUGGGAUGAGGGACAGGAUGAAGGCAGAUAAUAUAUUCCCAACCAAGGCCUUGGCUGCCCAGCUGGCGCAGGUUGAUGCAUUUAGGAAGACGGCAGUUUCGGAUUUACUUGACUGAAGAUUUAGAUGGUUUCUGAUGCAGUUAAUAUCUUAAUGUCAACUAUUUAUCUAUGUGCAACCAUCUUCUGUUUUUGGCGGGUGACACCAUUUUGGUGCUUUUAUAGACCUUUGCAGCAAAUUGUGUUUGCAUUUCUUAGGGAUAUGUUUUAGCUCAUAUGCUUGUUACUUGUGCUCCUGCAAUUCCCAAAUUUCUAAAUGCUAUUUUACUCAAGGGAAAAUUAUGCA
Molecule: unclassified non-coding RNA, 3465 nt
Filed under: Hevea brasiliensis (rubber tree)
Lineage: Eukaryota; Viridiplantae; Streptophyta; Magnoliopsida; Malpighiales; Euphorbiaceae
Source: RNAcentral